RNAcentral lists this ribosomal RNA (198 nucleotides) under uncultured bacterium. RNAcentral's name for it is "partial 16S ribosomal RNA". It matches the Rfam family "Bacterial small subunit ribosomal RNA", at positions 328 to 539 of the family's 1533-position model. The record is from RNAcentral.
ACGCUCGACACCUACGGGAGGCAGCAGUGGGGAAUAUUGCACAAUGGGGGAAACCCUGAUGCAGCAACGCCGCGUGAAGGAAGACGGUUUUCGGAUUGUAAACUUCUGUUCUUGGUGAAGAUAGUGACGGUAGCUAAGGAGCAAGCCACGGCUAACUACGUGCCAACAGCCGCGGUAAUCUGAGCGGGCUGGCAAGGC